This 855-nucleotide long non-coding RNA is filed under the name Anser brachyrhynchus (Pink-footed goose). RNAcentral's name for it is "lncRNA (ENSABRG00000012121.1)". Lineage: Eukaryota; Metazoa; Chordata; Aves; Anseriformes; Anatidae. The record is from RNAcentral.
GGACGUGUGCUGAGCUUUCCUGCUAUGCCGUGCAAUAAGCUUUGCUGUAGAGAGGAAAUCAUAGCGGAGGACGGGGUACGGAGAAAGUCUUCUGAAGGCUGAACUUCUGCAUACGGCAGUGAUUUACAGAGGUUCUUUGACUCUGUCUGGCCACUCGCAAGCCAGUUGUACUACAGAUGUGAGGUACCCCUCUGGCUGGGGCUUGCAAUGUGAAAAGCUCUCAUGUAGAGAAGAUGAAAGAAAGCAUAAGAAUAACAAUAAAAGCAAGUGCUGGCCUGUGAAGCGCCGGCAAGUGUUGGGCAGGGCCCCGGCUGUCCCGCUCUGCUCUUUGAUGCUACGAGGCUUAGCGGGCACGCGCGUGUCCCGAAGCGUUGCUGCUUCCCUCGCCCCCCGAAGCUGGACAUCGUCUGUGUUAUCUGAGGAGUCUGGGAGAGCUGGCCCCCGAAAGUCUGCCUGAUGGAGUGCACAAGGCUCCAUGUGAAGACCCCCAACGCUUCUGGAAACCAACCAACCGUGUUCUCAACACCUGGGGCACUGCCAGGCCUCAAGCGAGAGCGACGGAGGGAGACCCCAGCUGAGCUGAGGGCUGGCUGGGACGGAAAGGAGAGCUUCAGUUCCCCCUGCGGGACUGUGGCUGCCUCUGAGCAGGAGGGCUGGGCUGGCAGGAUGGGGAUGCUGAUUUGGGUGACCUCAGCCAGCCUGGCCUUGCCCAAGGCCACUUUUGACCAAGGUGUUUGCUUUCUCAGCACCACCAAGGAGCUGUGGAAAGGCCAAGGGUUAGCUAAGGAGGCACUGAAGUGGCACUUUGUGUUUCCACCUGGUGGUUAUUUUGAACUUCAGGCACCAGAGACCUGA